UACUUUAGCAGAUUUUGCCUUCUUCAUUUCCUUUUCUUCGUCCAAUUCAGAUUUGGUCGGUUUAGUAGUUAUUAUCUUUUUAGAUUCCUCCAUAAUCUGUUGCACUUCAUUUUUCACUUUUUCAGCUGGGAUUUUCGCUUCCAGUUUGACUUUCUCUAUCGAUUUACUAUCAGUAUCUUCUAUCGAUUUAACUUUGUCUUUAUCGACAUAUCUCACUUUUUCUAACUUUUUGCUAGUUGGAGUAGACACUUUUAAUUUAUCUUGAAUUUCAUUAUCAUUAUCGUUCUCAUCCUCGUCGUCCUUGCUAUCGUCCGUUUCACGUGCAACAUAUUCCGAAUCCUUUUUUUGAGAUUUCUUUUGUUGUUUCAAUAGAAUGGAGCUUUCUGCUUCAAUUUUUACAUCACCUUUAAUAUCUUUUUUAUCCUCUUUCUCCUUUACAAUAGUGCUUUUUCUCUUUUCUUUAUCUUCAUCUUCAACAACAUCCUUUCUAUAUUUUACUUCUUUGGUGUCUUUAGUAGUUGUACUUUUUGAAAUACUACCUGCACCCAACUUGAAACUCCAACCAAGAACGUUCAUGCUACUGUAAUCUUUUUCCUUGUCUUUUACUUCUGCUUCUCGUUCCGUUUCCUUUCGUUCGAUACUUUUGAAUUUUUCGGCUUCUUCCUGUUUCUUUUCAUAGUCUUCGCUUUUGUCAGCUUUCCUCAGCUCUACACUUUCGUCUUCCUCAUCUUCGGCUUGUAUCUCUUCCUCCUCAUCUUCCACUAUAACAUCAUCAUCAUCAUCAUCAUCAUCAUCAUCAUCAUCAUCAUUGUCAUCAACAUCAUUGUCAUUAUUAUUAAUAUCUUCAACGUUCUUUCCUUCCUCGCUUUGGUUUUCACCAUUAUCAUCAUAAUCAUCUUUAUCAUUAAUAAUACUCUCUUUCUUCCUAAGCGAAAAUCCAGCUGAUGAUUUAUCGGCAAACUGAUUACCCAACAACCUUGAUCCAAUUUUCUGAGUAUUCGCGUCCUCCUCGAUGGUAGACGAGACCGUUUCGACAGGUGGUUUUCGACCAAUCGGAGGAACCUGCGAAGACAUGGCCCCGUGCCAUCUUCGUGGCGAAGGCGUCACUGCGUUGCUCGUCGUCAUCGUUCUCUCUGGGCACUUACCGAACUUGGAACCAACACAGGUGGCACGUUGUGAGUGCUCAACGAUCGACGAAGAAAAUGGAUGAACGACACUUCCAUCACGUAUCCUGAAGGCGUAGGAACAGUUAUAAAGAAGUAGUAUAAUCGCCCAACGAAUAAUGCCCAGAAGGGCGAGAGCCAUGAUAUGGCUGGGUUCACAUGUGAAAAGAAAAUUAAUAAGCGAGCACUAAAUCGGUGAUGUUCGAACAGAUUUACUUCUUCCUCUCCUCCCUUCUUUUUCUUCCUCUUCCUCCCUCUUUCUCUCUCUCUCUCUCUCUCUCUCUCUCUCUCUCUCUCUCUCUUUCUCUCUGUCUAUGUCUCUGUUUCUGUCUAUCUCCCUCUCUCUUUCUCUCUCUCCGAAAACUCGUGAUCAAAAGAACACGAGUGAUCUUGAGAAUCUUGAAGAACUAUCGAGUACGCCGUCUCGGACGUGGCAGAUCCCGGGCUACCACGUCCACAGUCGGCCGUGCCUUUGCGGAAAUUAGAGCGCAUGGCAGCGUCCCAAGCAGCUAGGAGUUUUAUUUAGCAUCAACAUUUCCGACCGCCGAUCGCCGCGGCCUCAGCAGUGCGUUCGAGAGACAGCCAUGCCUCUCUCUUUGUCGUCAUCAUUCACUGCCGAUAUUCUUCUCUUCGGAAGUUACGCAACUUUAGAGGGAGAGAGAGAGAGAGAGAGAGAGAGAGAGAGAGAGAGAGAGAGAGAGAGAGAGAGAGAGACAGGGAGAGAAGUCUAGGCAAGCAAACUGUUCUUAUAGACACGGAGGCGCUUCGAAUCAGGAGUGUAUAAGACGGAUUAAAGAAGAUAAUGAAACGUUUUCAAGGUUAUCACGUGUCAAAUAUAUUUGUAUUAUAUAAAUAAAAAUUUUGUUAUUAUAGAAAAGAAUUGUUCUUUUUUUCUUUUUAUUACUUUUAUUUUGCAAAAUUUCUGAUUGAAUUUCGAAUAUUUCUUUGAUUGUUAAUCAAACAUAAUUUAAGAAUAGAGGAUAUUUUUUACAAGUAAGAUGUUCCCUAUGAAGAUGAAAUAGUUUAGCGAUGAUAUAGCGUAAGAUACAAACUCGGAACAGCAGAGAUUGAUGGCACACGAAUUGUACGUACACUUGUGGUAUGAAGUCCGGCGGUUCAGCUGUAAUAUUCUGGCGAUCAGUUUUACCGCAACAAAAGGAUUAAAGUGGAUAGGAAAUAAAAGGAAAUAUUUAUGCGUUCAAGGGUCAGCCUACAACGUGAUAUGUACCGAACAAUAUUCAACUAUAACUACUAAUAUCAUUCAAGUAUUUGUUCAACAAUCUUAUGUAAUAGGAUCUACAUGAAAAGAGAGAAUAAAUGGCAAAUAAUAAAAGGUGUAUGAAGAUAUUGUAUGUUUUUAAUAAAAUGGAAAUAAAUGAAUGAUGAAACGAA
Vespa velutina is the source of this 2555-nucleotide long non-coding RNA. RefSeq lists it as uncharacterized. The transcript has 3 exons. The record is from RefSeq and is a predicted model, not a curated record. Lineage: Eukaryota; Metazoa; Arthropoda; Insecta; Hymenoptera; Vespidae.